This 244-nucleotide unclassified non-coding RNA is filed under the name Basidiobolus ranarum. Its description in RNAcentral is "partial internal transcribed spacer region". The stretch from base 1 to 46 matches the Rfam family "Eukaryotic small subunit ribosomal RNA", at positions 1786 to 1831 of the family's 1831-position model. The record is from RNAcentral. Lineage: Eukaryota; Fungi; Basidiobolomycota; Basidiobolomycetes; Basidiobolales; Basidiobolaceae.
AAGUCGUAACAAGGUUUCCGUAGGUGAACCUGCGGAAGGAUCAUUAACAAAUUAUCCAAUACCAACCACUUGUGCACUGUUGAAGUAUGCUUUGGUAGAGUGCUGAGGUGAUCGUGGCAAUGCCGCGAUCUCUCGAUCUGCCAGAGUUUUUACCAAUACUAAACAAACAAACGUCUAAUUAAUGUGACUGAACUUCAUUUUACAAAUGAAAAUACAACUUUUAACAAUGGAUCUCUUGGCUCUU